Molecule: unclassified non-coding RNA, 2705 nt
Filed under: Dendronephthya gigantea
Lineage: Eukaryota; Metazoa; Cnidaria; Anthozoa; Malacalcyonacea; Nephtheidae
Description: mitoguardin 1-like, transcript variant X5
Source: RNAcentral
GUACCUGCACAGCCCCAAUAUUGUGCGGGUGGAUUUUUAAGGAGCACAAUAACUAAACUGGCACCAGUCGUUCACUUCGACACCACCAUAGUCCAUAGAUUCCAAGCGUAGAGUUAUGUAAGAAAUCAGCUGCUGUAAAAUGAAUGGUUUAAUAGAGUCUCCUCUUUUUAAAAUGUUUGCAACAACAAACAGUCUUUUUCUUGGCGUUGGAGCUUUGUAUUUAGUUAGUUUUGGUCGUGAAUCAGUUAGAAAAAUGACAGACAAUAACAAGGUUUCAAUCAGGAAACAAAUAUGGUUAGAUGAAAGAGUAAAAUAUACAGAAAGCGAAGGUCUUGAGGAAUUUGCCCAACACUUGGAAGAGUGGAAUAGAAGCCUUGCAGAAUUAGAAAAUCUAUUGGCAAACAACAUCCAACAGAGCAGGGGACAAGAUGAUGUUGUUGAAGACCGAGAUGAGGUUGAUGCUAUGGAUAUUGCUGGUUUUCAUAAUGCUGACUUGAUUUAUGAAAAAGUAGAUACAACAUUAAAUAAUGUUGUCAGCAAAAUAGGUAAAUUAAGAUAUAUGUUAAAAAGCAAACAACAUGACAGUAAUUUCAAUCCUGGUAAAUCCAUAACAAGGGACGAUGAUUCGGACACAGACUCAUUUCUUUCUGCAGAAGGUGAUGAGGAUGAUUUUAAUCAAGAGAUCUCCAACACAGAUCACACACAAGAGAAAGCUCUACAAGCAGCUGGUAUUCACAGGGAUAAACCAUUCUAUCUGAAUGCCUUAGAGCAAUAUUUCAAACAUGGAAUAAAAUGCUGCAAGAAAACUAGGGCAAAAAUGGUUGGAUGCCUGAGUGAUGUAGAAUUUCUUGCAAAGGUCUACUGCAUUAGAGAAGCAUCCAAGAUGGCUUUUGCCAAGAAAGAUGUCCAACUUAAAUUUGAACAAAAUGGUACAGAAUUGCUUCGGUUUUUAAUUACAACUGCAGGAAAGGAUCAUAACGAAUGCGAAAAAAGAUGGAAAGCUUUGCUUGGUUUUUGUAAGAAACCAGAAAACUUCAAAAUCUUUGAAAGAGAAUUAAGUAAAAGAGGAGUACCUUUCAUCACAUUCUAUGAUCUAGUUCUGGAUUUCGUGGUAAUGGACGCAUUUGUUGAUCUUGAAAAUCCGCCUUACUCCAUUAAGGCUGCAGUUCAAAACUCGUGGCUACCUACUUAUAUUCAACAAACGGGUUUAGAAACAGCAGUUUGGGGAGUAUUGAAAGCAAAAAUGCAGAUGUUAGACGAACCAGCAGGAUUUUUGAUGCAUUUUUAUCAUCUUUCUGAAAUCCUCACUCCAGUGCUAGCCUGGGGAUUUUUGGGAUCAGACAAAGCGUUAAAAAACGCUUGUUCUAUUUUCAAGAUUGAGUUAAUGGGGUUUAUUAAAGAUUUAUUCAGUUUCGAAAGGGCUGACUAUAGUUCUUUGGAAAGUUUGUCGACAGAUAUCUCCAGACUUGCUGAGGAAAGUAUCUCACAGGAAAACUAUGCCAGGAUGUUGUUGAUAGCGUAAAUGCAGACAAGAUGGGAUAUAUCAAUGAGAUUCACCAACCUAAUUUGGAACGGCAAUCUCAAUAAUCCCGAGAGCAAAGACUUUAUGGAACAAGCCCGUCAGAUUGAGAGUGCAGUACGUGGAGUUCUAAAGAGUGAUGCAACGUUUCGUACAGUCAAAGUGGAAAAAUUUUCUCGAUGAAGUGUUGUUAGUAAUCUAAAAAUAAAUUAUGUGGCUGGCACAGUCUUCACUACCCCGAUAGACACCCUGACGAAGGCUGCAGCUGAUGGUGAAAUUGGUAACCUUACAGUAGACAACUCAUCAUUAGACAUUGUUAAUUAUACAUGUGACACACCUCUUGGGAUGGAAAACCAUCGCAUUCCUGACAGCGCCCUUAGUUCAGCAAACCAGAUAAUUAUCAUCCAUUUACAAAUGCUCGUUUAAACCAUAAUGGACCUGGUUGGACUCCGCGAGUUAAUCGUAUUGAAGAUGCAUAUCUACAGGUUGAUUUCGGGGAAGUUGUUCAGCUAACAGGCAUUGCCACGCAAGGGUCUUCAUAUGGUGGAGAAAGCUGGCUACAAUCCUAUCUGUUUGACUAUAGCGUUGACAGCAGGAUAUGGGUAGAAUAUAAAGAAGAUAUACAGAUAAUUAUGCUAUGACAUUUUUAGCAAACUCUGAUGUGAAUACGGCUGUGCGAAAUGACCUAAAGAAUCCAGUGAGAACAAGAUAUUUGAGAGUUAAAAAAGAACACGAAUGUCGUUAUUAGAGUUUUCGUUGUGAGUUUUAUGGUUGCCCUAUACCAAAUGUUGGAAUGUUACCAACGUUUGUGCCUUUUAACCCAACCCAGAAUAAAGGUAAAAGGCCCUGGAAACGAAGUUGUUCUCGCCCUACAAAUCAACUCAACUCAACAGGUACAUCUAGUCAUGAUGUUGGUGAUGGUGAUCAGAAGGAUAGUAAAACUGAUUUGAUUGUUGGUCUUGUUCUUGGUAUCUCAGCCGUGUUUAUACUCGCCAUUGUUAGUUUGGCAAAUUAAAAGACGUAAGAUAACUCGAUCGUUUGGUGCCGAAGAGUCUAUAGUGAUGAAACAAACAGUGAAUCCUGAUAUCACUGAUCUAAUAUAGUAAAUACAUUAUAAGUUCUUGUAAUUCCUUACAUCACGCAGUUAAUUCAUUCGUUGAUUAUUUAAAGUACUUGCUCGGUAAUG